UCGGGAAUUUUGGGCAAUGGGCGAAAGCCUGACCCAGCAACGCCGCGUGAAGGAUGAAGUAUUUCGGUAUGUAAACUUCGAAAGAAUAGGAAGAAUAAAUGACGGUACUAUUUAUAAGGUCCGGCUAACUACGUGCCAGCAGCCGCGGUAAUACGUAGGGACCAAGCGUUGUUCGGAUUUACUGGGCGUAAAGGGCGCGUAGGCGGCAAUUCAAGUCAUCUGUGAAAUCUCCGGGCUUAACUCGGAACGGUCAGAUGAUACUGCUUUGCUAGAGUGCAGAAGGGGCAAUCGGAAUUCUUGGUGUAGCGGUGAAAUGCGUAGAUAUCAAGAGGAACACCUGAGGUGAAGACGGUUGCUGGGCUGACACUGACGCUGAGGCGCGAAAGCCAGGGGAGCAAACGGGAUUAGAUACCCAUGUAGUCCCUGAGCGGGCUGGCAAGGCGCAU
This 446-nucleotide ribosomal RNA is filed under the name uncultured bacterium. RNAcentral's name for it is "bacterial SSU rRNA". It matches the Rfam family "Bacterial small subunit ribosomal RNA", at positions 355 to 825 of the family's 1533-position model. The record is from RNAcentral.